CUGGGGAAGUUACAAGAACAGAACAGAACAGAAUGUGGAGAAGCUUGAAAACUGGCAGUUUGUCAGGGGUUGCUCUAGCAAACAAGAAGAUGGUAACAACUGUGGCACCUUUGUCCUAAUGAAUGCUGAGGCCAUCAUCAAAAACAUACCAACUUUGGUUAUGCGGCAAGCACAUUGUGAAACAUACAGAAAGUAUAUGUAACAAAAAGACUUCUUAUGGAAGGGAAGAGAAGAAAUGAAGAAACAUGUGACUUUGUAGAAUCUUGUAGUGGACCACAUAAAAAGUGGAUCCAGUGUGACUGUUGUGGAAAGUGGUUACACAUGAAAUGUGCUCAAGUGAAAAAAGUGGAUCCCAGUUAUAUGUGUGUGUUUUGUUGUGCCUUAUACAAGUGAUUCAGAUUGAAACUAUUCAAGUUCCAAAUUGUAUGACAGUCAAUAGGAAUCUUCUGGACACAUUCCUAGUAUUCACUUGAGUUAAAAAUUAUGAGAUUUUUUUCCAUCAUGAAUUAUAGCAUAUGUCAUAUCACCAACUGUGACCAUGCAUGCAACAAUGGACUGGUGUUAAAUGUUGUUUCAAUUUAAUUUUUAGCUUUACUUUUCCAAGUCAUUUAUUGGUUAGUGUUUUUGGUAAAGUCCAAUGUACAUGUAUCUCUAUUAUAACCAAAGCUAUUUACUUAAAACUUAACGUGGUUAUUUACUAUUUAUGUCUACACCAGGAGAAACAAUCCUCACAACUCCAAUUUUAA
Mercenaria mercenaria is the source of this 746-nucleotide long non-coding RNA. RefSeq lists it as uncharacterized. NCBI's taxonomy places the organism in Eukaryota, Metazoa, Mollusca, Bivalvia, Venerida, Veneridae. The record is from RefSeq and is a predicted model, not a curated record. The transcript is spliced from 2 exons.